ACAAGCAGUGGGAGCACCCUUUGGGGUGUGACUGCGUACCUUUUGUAUAAUGGGUCAGCGACUUAUAUUCUGUAGCAAGGUUAACCGUAUAGGGGAGCCGGAGGGAAACCGAGUCUUAAUUGGGCGUUAAGUUGCAGGGUAUAGACCCGAAACCCGGUGAUCUAGCCAUGGGCAGGUUGAAGGUUGGGUAACACUAACUGGAGGACCGAACCGACUAAUGUUGAAAAAUUAGCGGAUGACCUGUGGCUGGGGGUGAAAGGCCAAUCAAACCGGGAGAUAGCUGGUUCUCCCCGAAAGCUAUUUAGGUAGCGCCUCGUGAAUUCAUCUCCGGGGGUAGAGCACUGUUUCGGCUAGGGGGCCAUCCCGGCUUACCAACCCGAUGCAAACUGCGAAUACCGGAGAAUGUUAUCACGGGAGACACACGGCGGGUGCUAACGUCCGUCGUGAAGAGGGAAACAACCCAGACCGCCAGCUAAGGUCCCAAAGUCAUGGUUAAGUGGGAAACGAUGUGGGAAGGCCCAGACAGCCAGGAUGUUGGCUUAGAAGCAGCCAUCAUUUAAAGAAAGCGUAAUAGCUCACUGGUCGAGUCGGCCUGCGCGGAAGAUGUAACGGGGCUAAACCAUG
RNAcentral lists this ribosomal RNA (624 nucleotides) under Salmonella enterica subsp. enterica serovar Reading. RNAcentral describes it as "partial 23S ribosomal RNA". It matches the Rfam family "Bacterial large subunit ribosomal RNA", at positions 566 to 1191 of the family's 2925-position model. Lineage: Bacteria; Pseudomonadati; Pseudomonadota; Gammaproteobacteria; Enterobacterales; Enterobacteriaceae. The record is from RNAcentral.